Molecule: ribosomal RNA, 255 nt
Filed under: Listeria monocytogenes
Lineage: Bacteria; Bacillati; Bacillota; Bacilli; Caryophanales; Listeriaceae
Description: partial 23S ribosomal RNA
Rfam family: Bacterial large subunit ribosomal RNA
Source: RNAcentral
ACGGAGGCGCCCAAAGGUUCCCUCAGAAUGGAUGGAAAUCAUUCGCAGAGUGUAAAGGCACAAGGGAGCUUGACUGCGAGACUGACAAGUCGAGCAGGGACGAAAGUCGGGCUUAGUGAUCCGGUGGUUCCGCAUGGAAGGGCCAUCGCUCAACGGAUAAAAGCUACCCCGGGGAUAACAGGCUUAUCUCCCCCAAGAGUCCACAUCGACGGGGAGGUUUGGCACCUCGAUGUCGGCUCGUCGCAUCCUGGGGCU